AUUGAACGCUGGCGGCGUGCUUUACACAUGCAAGUCGAACGGUAACAGGCCUUCGGGUGCUGACGAGUGGCGAACGGGUGAGUAAUGCAUCGGAACGUGCCCAGAGGUGGGGGAUAACGCAGCGAAAGCUGUGCUAAUACCGCAUGUGAUCUGAGGAUGAAAGCGGGGGACCAAGCAGCAAUGUUUGGCCUCGCGCCUCUGGAGCGGCCGAUGUCAGAUUAGGUAGUUGGUGGGGUAAAGGCCUACCAAGCCGACGAUCUGUAGCUGGUCUGAGAGGACGACCAGCCACACUGGGACUGAGACACGGCCCAGACUCCUACGGGAGGCAGCAGUGGGGAAUUUUGGACAAUGGGCGCAAGCCUGAUCCAGCAAUGCCGCGUGCGGGAAGAAGGCCUUCGGGUUGUAAACCGCUUUUGUACGGAACGAAAAGGCUCUGGCUAAUACCUGGGGCUGAUGACGGUACCGUAAGAAUAAGCACCGGCUAACUACGUG
Molecule: ribosomal RNA, 492 nt
Filed under: uncultured bacterium
Lineage: Bacteria
Description: partial 16S ribosomal RNA
Rfam family: Bacterial small subunit ribosomal RNA
Source: RNAcentral